RNAcentral lists this ribosomal RNA (498 nucleotides) under uncultured bacterium. Its description in RNAcentral is "partial 16S ribosomal RNA". It matches the Rfam family "Bacterial small subunit ribosomal RNA", at positions 30 to 523 of the family's 1533-position model. The record is from RNAcentral.
AUUGAACGCUGGCGGCAUGCCUUACACAUGCAAGUCGAACGGUAACAGGUCUUCGGAUGCUGACGAGUGGCGAACGGGUGAGUAAUACAUCGGAACGUGCCUAGUAGUGGGGGAUAACUACUCGAAAGAGUGGCUAAUACCGCAUGAGAUCUACGGAUGAAAGCAGGGGAUCGCAAGACCUUGUGCUACUAGAGCGGCCGAUGGCAGAUUAGGUAGUGGGUGGGAUAAAAGCUUACCAAGCCGACGAUCUGUAGCUGGUCUGAGAGGACGAUCAGCCACACUGGGACUGAGACACGGCCCAGACUCCUACGGGAGGCAGCAGUGGGGAAUUUUGGACAAUGGGCGAAAGCCUGAUCCAGCAAUGCCGCGUGCAGGAUGAAGGCCUUCGGAUUGUAAACUGCUUUUGUACGGAACGAAAAGCCCCGGGUUAAUACCCUGGGGUCAUGACGGUACCGUAAGAAUAAGCACCGGCUAACUACGUGCCAGCAGCCGCGGUAA